Molecule: long non-coding RNA, 582 nt
Filed under: Musa acuminata (dwarf banana)
Lineage: Eukaryota; Viridiplantae; Streptophyta; Magnoliopsida; Zingiberales; Musaceae
Description: long non-coding RNA (MACU_LNC004704)
Source: RNAcentral
GCGCUCCCGGAGUCCGACCAGCGACGACUCACUCACAGAGGAGUCCUGGUCAUGCGGCCACAUCAAGGCCUCGAGGGCCCGUGCAACCUCCCCGUUAGAGGACUCAACAAGGGGCGGGAGAACGCUUCCCUCCCUAGCUCCGGAGGAAUGGACAGAAGAGGAGGAGGGGGAGGACACCAUCCUAACUGACCUUAACUGGGGAGGGUGCUACGGGAGAGUGGAGCGACGCUAGAGGCGAGGAAGACGACCGGAAGGGAGACGGUGAGACCGGAAGAAAAAAACUCAGCAGUGAAGGACGGAGGGGAAGCCAGGCGCCCGCUAUUUGAAGGGGGCGUCCCGCCGGAACCUUCUCCUCUCGAGAAGUGGGCGGCAGCCCACUCGCAUGCGCGCGUAACCGUCGCGUCGCAUCGGAAAAUACCCAAAAGCGCUCCGCCUUAAUGAAGGCCUGACGUGGCGACCCCGCCAAAAACAGCAGCGUCCAGACGCCUCGAUCCCGGCACCCUAAGACGUGCGGCGGAAGCAAUCAACUCCCCCUCAGGAGAGAAAUUAAACGCGCAGCUCACUAACCCCCGCCACCGUCGA